Molecule: unclassified non-coding RNA, 233 nt
Filed under: plant metagenome
Description: partial contains small subunit ribosomal RNA, internal transcribed spacer 1, and 5.8S ribosomal RNA
Source: RNAcentral
UUUCCGUAGGUGAACCUGCGGAAGGAUCAUUAUUGGAUUUUGUAACUUCAGGCUGCUGCUGGCUCUCCUCGGAGGGCAUGUGCACGCUUGUUGUCCAUUAUUUCUCCCACUGUGCACAAAUUGUAGACCUUUCAGUAGGCCUAUGUUGUUUUUCACAAUCUCUGAAUGUAAUAGAAUGGUUUUGAAUCUUGGGAAAUACAAUACAACUUUCAGCAACGGAUCUCUUGGCUCUC